AGCGAACGUAUCACUUAAAGCGAUUCAGCGGGUUACGAUUGACGGAGCGAAGCGACGUCAAAGCGUAUACAAAGUCGAGUCGGUUUAAGGAUACGUUCGUUGGGUAGGGGAGCGUUCUGUAAGCCUGUGAAGGUGGCCUGUGAGGGUUGCUGGAGGUAUCAGAAGUGCGAAUGCUGACAUAAGUAACGAUAAAGCGGGUGAAAAGCCCGCUCGCCGGAAGACCAAGGGUUCCUGUCCAACGUUAAUCGGGGCAGG
RNAcentral lists this ribosomal RNA (255 nucleotides) under Salmonella enterica subsp. enterica serovar Thompson. RNAcentral's name for it is "partial 23S ribosomal RNA". It matches the Rfam family "Bacterial large subunit ribosomal RNA", at positions 1148 to 1378 of the family's 2925-position model. The record is from RNAcentral. RNAcentral also lists the same sequence under 3 other names. Lineage: Bacteria; Pseudomonadati; Pseudomonadota; Gammaproteobacteria; Enterobacterales; Enterobacteriaceae.